CUGACGCAGCUACGCCGCGUGGGUGAUGAAGGCCUUCGGGUCGUAAAGCCCUGUCCGGUGGGAAGAAUGUCUUUAAGUCCAACAGGCGUUAGAUUUGACGGUACCACCAGAGGAAGCACCGGCUAACUCCGUGCCAGCAGCCGCGGUAAUACGGAGGGUGCGAGCGUUAUUCGGAAUUACUGGGCGUAAAGCGCGUGUAGGCGGGAAGGUAAGUCUGACGUGAAAGCCCCGGGCUUAACCCGGGAAGUGCGUUGGAAACUGCUUUCCUUGAGUUCCGGAGAGGAUGGGGGAAUUCCCGGUGUAGAGGUGAAAUUCGUAAAGAUCGGGAGGAAUACCAGUGGCGAAGGCGCCCAUCUGGACGGUAACUGACGCUGAGACGCGAAAGCGUGGGGAGCAAACAGGAUUAGAUACCCUGGUAGUCCACGCUGUAAACGAUGAGCACUAGGUGUAGCGGGUAAUCAUUCCUGCUGUGCCGCAGCUAACGCGAUAAGUGCUCCGCCUGGGG
Molecule: ribosomal RNA, 505 nt
Filed under: uncultured Desulforhabdus sp.
Lineage: Bacteria; Pseudomonadati; Thermodesulfobacteriota; Syntrophobacteria; Syntrophobacterales; Syntrophobacteraceae
Description: bacterial SSU rRNA
Rfam family: Bacterial small subunit ribosomal RNA
Source: RNAcentral